This 310-nucleotide unclassified non-coding RNA is filed under the name plant metagenome. RNAcentral describes it as "partial contains 5.8S ribosomal RNA, internal transcribed spacer 2, and large subunit ribosomal RNA". The stretch from base 1 to 105 matches the Rfam family "5.8S ribosomal RNA", at positions 50 to 154 of the family's 154-position model. The record is from RNAcentral.
GAAAUGCGAUAAGUAGUGUGAAUUGCAGAAUUCAGUGAAUCAUCGAAUCUUUGAACGCACAUUGCGCCCUUUGGUAUUCCUUAGGGCAUGCCUGUUCGAGCGUCAUUUGUACCCUCAAGCUCUGCUUGGUGUUGGGUGUUUGUCCCCGUCUCCGCGCGUGGACUCGCCCCAAAGUGAUUCGCAGCCGGCGUACUGGUCCCGGAGCGCAGCACAUGUCGCGCAAACGAGUGCCUUGGUACGGCGGCGUCCAUAAGCCCCUCUCUCACGCUCUUGACCUCGGAUCAGGUAGGGAUACCCGCUGAACUUAAGC